GACAGAGGUGCCAAGCGUUAGGCGGAAUCACUGGGCUUAAAGCGUGUGUAGGCGGACUUGUAAGUACCUUGUGAAAUCCCACGGCUCAACCGUGGAACUGCUGGGUAUACUGCGAGUCUUGAGCCAUCUAGGGGCUACCGGAACAAAUGGUGGAGCGGUGAAAUGCGUAGAUAUCAGGAGGAACACCAAUGGCGAAGGCAGCUCGCUGGGACGUGACUGACGCUGAGACGCGAAAGCGUGGGGAGCAAACAGG
RNAcentral lists this ribosomal RNA (253 nucleotides) under uncultured bacterium. RNAcentral describes it as "partial 16S ribosomal RNA". It matches the Rfam family "Bacterial small subunit ribosomal RNA", at positions 524 to 776 of the family's 1533-position model. The record is from RNAcentral.